CUGGUGAAUCUUCCACAAUGGACGAAAGUGGGAGGGAGCAACGCCGCGUGAGUGAAGAAGGGGAUGGAGUCGUAAAGGUUUGUUAUCAGGGACGAAAGAGGAAUAAGAGAAUACAGGUGUGAAAUGACGUUGCUUGAGGAGGAAGAAGGGGCGAAUUAUUUGCCAGCAGCCGCGGUAAUAAGUAGGUGGGUAGCGUUGUCCGGAAUUAUUGGGGGUAAAGGGAGGGCAGGCGGGCGGUCAAGUCGGUCUUAAAAGUGCGGGGCUUAACCCCGUGAUGGGAUAGAAAC
RNAcentral lists this ribosomal RNA (287 nucleotides) under uncultured Prevotellaceae bacterium. Its description in RNAcentral is "partial 16S ribosomal RNA". It matches the Rfam family "Bacterial small subunit ribosomal RNA", at positions 354 to 633 of the family's 1533-position model. The record is from RNAcentral. Lineage: Bacteria; Pseudomonadati; Bacteroidota; Bacteroidia; Bacteroidales; Prevotellaceae.